This is a non-coding RNA of Callithrix jacchus (white-tufted-ear marmoset), 78 nucleotides long. Lineage: Eukaryota; Metazoa; Chordata; Mammalia; Primates; Cebidae. The record is from Rfam.
CUCCAGGGCAACCGUGGCUUUCGAUUGUUACUGUGGGAACUGGAGGUAACAGUCUACAGCCAUGGUCGCCCCGCAGCA